GAUGAACGCUGGCGGCGUGCCUAAUACAUGCAAGUCGAGCGAACGGACGAGAAGCUUGCUUCUCUGAUGUUAGCGGCGGACGGGUGACUAACACGUGGAUAACCUACCUAUAAGACUGGGAUAACUUCGGGAAACCGGAGCUAAUACCGGAUAAUAUUUUGAACCGCAUGGUUCAAAAGUGAAAGACGGUCUUGCUGUCACUUAUAGAUGGAUCCGCGCUGCAUUAGCUAGUUGGUAAGGUAACGGCUUACCAAGGCAACGAUGCAUAGCCGACCUGAGAGGGUGAUCGGCCACACUGGAACUGACACACGGUCCAGACUCCUACGGGAGGCAGCAGUAGGGAAUCUUCCGCAAUGGGCGAAAGCCUGACGGAGCAACGCCGCGUGAGUGAUGAAGGUCUUCGGAUCGUAAAACUCUGUUAUUAGGGAAGAACAUAUGUGUAAGUAACUGUGCACAUCUUGACGGUACCUAAUCAGAAAGCCACGGCUAACUACGUG
RNAcentral lists this ribosomal RNA (497 nucleotides) under uncultured bacterium. RNAcentral's name for it is "partial 16S ribosomal RNA". It matches the Rfam family "Bacterial small subunit ribosomal RNA", at positions 28 to 507 of the family's 1533-position model. The record is from RNAcentral.